UUAUCAAAGAGUUAAUCGAUAGGUCAGUGCUUCCCGUGGAGCUGAAAGGCAUCAUCGAUAUGGGAUUUGAUGACCUACAGUGGUACUCCAUGACCGUCAUGCAUCAGAUGCCAUCCUUAUCUCUUGUUUCAUUCUUUGGCUUCUCCUCUCGCCUUUUUUCUGAUCGUAACUUUCUAUAGGUACUCUAUUUUUUGGUUGACACUUUGAACCAUGCAUGCAGGGUAGAGAUCCACAGAGCUUUGCAUCGAAAGACCGAAUCCAAUACUGCAGAGAUGCACACACAUGUCGAUGCAGCCAAGGUAGAGGCCGAUAAGCUAAGGGAAUCCCUCAAUAAAGUUUUCAUCGAUCUCGCAUGAAAAGGGGAGGAGCUUCAGGCGGCCAAUGCAAAGCUCGCUGAGGUUGAGAAGAAGGCCAAGGAGCGGAUUGCCAAGGCCAAUGAGAGGGCCAAGGAUCGAGUCACCAAGGUUAGGUGGGAGGUUGAAGAGAAGAUCGUCGAGGCCCGUCGAUCGAUCAUAGAAUCCUUCAAGGAUUUGGAGGAUUUCAAGUAGGAACAGGCUCAAGUAGUUGAUAGUUUUAAGGCAUCGGAGGAGCAUCAUGAUGCCUAGGUUGCAUUUGGUCAGGAGCCCUUCAAUGUGGGAUAUGAGGCCGGAUUCGAAGAUUGCUGCCACCUGAUUGCUGACCGACUUUCUGAUGUCGAUCUCUCCUUUUUGGAUGAGGAUGAGGAUGAUGAGGAGGCUGCAGUAGAGCUGGCUCCUCCUAAUUUUGGGGCCAUCGAGGAGUAGACAAGGAACAAAGAGGUGACGAUUGAAGUUUCUCUACCGCCCAUUGCUACAACGGGUCCCUCCGAAGCAUCCCUGGGUCCCUUAGGAGUUGCACCAGCUCCUCCGAUCUUCAUGGUGAGGUCAAAAAAUAAAACUUGUACUUUUUUCCUCUCUUUUUUAUUGUAAGAAGGUAGUUAUCAAUGAAACAACAUUUCAUUCUUCUCUAAAUUUGUGUCGCUUUUCUUUCACUUGUCUAGCUAUGUCAGUUUGUCCUCGAUGAAUAUACUCCUUCAAUUCCCGUCGUUGAGUCCUUACUGGUGGUUUCUGUGAUAAAGAUUAGGUCCCAUAUAGGCGAUCUGGAAAAAAGAGUUUAGGAGCUGAAUAAAAUGACUGUUGUUCGGAAGGAGUUAUCGAAUACUAGAAAAGCAUUGGUCGAGGCUUUAGCAGAGGUCAAUCAAUUGAAGAUGACUAAUCGUCGAAGUGUCAUGGCAUACUCCAUCGAGAAGGCCCGAUUAGUAGUCAAGUUUGUAUGACUGUCGAAACUCAUUGAGGAUGCCACCUGGGGCACCAUUGUCAGGCAAAAAGAUCUCCAUAUCCAAUUCCAUUGAACUCAAGAUAGAAUUUUGAAAUUGAAAUCAUCGGAGGCUGCUGCUAAAGAGGCAAGAAGUUACUUCGCCGACCAUGCCGCCCGACUUCAGAAAGAUCUUCGCACC
Molecule: long non-coding RNA, 1474 nt
Filed under: Elaeis guineensis (African oil palm)
Lineage: Eukaryota; Viridiplantae; Streptophyta; Magnoliopsida; Arecales; Arecaceae
Description: long non-coding RNA (EGUI_LNC031651)
Source: RNAcentral